ACCCCUGUGAGAAUGCCCACCGCCCCCUGCCAGGGGACAAGGAGCGGGUAUCAGGCACAAUUUACUUAGCCCACGACGCCUUGCUUAGCCACACCCUCAAGGGAAUUCAGCAGUGAUAAAUAUUAAGCCAUAAGCGAAAGCUUGACUUAGUUAAAGCCAAAUAGGGCCGGUAAAACUCGUGCCAGCCACCGCGGUUAUACGAGAGGCUCAAGUUGACAACCAACGGCGUAAAGCGUGGUUAGGGGAAAUAUAAAUUAAAGCUGAACGCCCACAAUGCUGUCUAACGCUUCGAGGGUAUGAAGAACAUCGACGAAAGUGGCUUUAUAACACCUGAACCCACGAAAGCUGGGAAACAAACUGGGAUUAGAUACCCCACUAUGCCCAGCCCUAAAAAUUGAUUGAACGCUACAACCUCAAUCCGCCUGGGUAUUACGAACUUCGGUUUAAAACCCAAAGGACUUGGCGGUGCUUUAAAACCUUCUAGAGGAGCCUGUCCUGUAACCGAUACUCCCCGUUAAACCUCACCCUCUCUUGCUCGUUCCC
This 543-nucleotide ribosomal RNA is filed under the name Sphyraena pinguis (red barracuda). RNAcentral's name for it is "partial 12S rRNA". It matches the Rfam family "Bacterial small subunit ribosomal RNA", at positions 307 to 992 of the family's 1533-position model. Lineage: Eukaryota; Metazoa; Chordata; Actinopteri; Sphyraenidae. The record is from RNAcentral.